Non-coding RNA from Lamprotornis superbus, 77 nucleotides. The record is from the annotation of a GenBank genome assembly. Lineage: Eukaryota; Metazoa; Chordata; Aves; Passeriformes; Sturnidae.
GCCCCUGAGAUUAGCUUAGUUGGUUAGAGCAUGGUGCUAGUAACACCAAGGUGACAGGUUUGAUCCCUGUGUGGGCC